CGUGAACAUGCCAGUUAUAGCUAGCUAAUAAAGAGCUACGUUAAGAAAUAUCCUGUAGUACUGCAUUAUAUUAUUUUGUACAAAAUGUACAAAACAUGGUGUCAGAGUAAAAGGUCUUAAAAUAUGAAUUUUUCUGGAGUUCCUUUACCUCGAAUGGACUGGGACUCUACAAAUUUACCCAAUGCAUGGCGUCCAGCCACAAGACGACGCCGACGAGAGGGACGACCCCGAGGACGAGGAGCAGGUGGCGAAGGUGGAAAUCACGGAUGAUGUUGGGAUCCAGAAUGUCCUACACCGGAACCCAACAUCGACAACCCGGAACCCAACAUCACGUGAGCUUCGCUCCACACUUAUGCGCACCUGAAGCACUCGUCAACCGCAGGAGCUUCGGUCUGGCCCAGGGUCCACGGAGCCGAGGACGAGCAUACCAACCCUACCAUGUCACAACACAUUGGUUGGCUGAAACACAUUAUGAAGCAAAUUAACUUUCAACAAGGCACACCUGUUAAUUCAAAUGCAUUCCAGGUGACUACCUCAUGAAGCAGGUUGAGAGAAUGCCAAGAGUGUGCAACGCUGUCAUCAAGGCAAAGGGUGGCUACUUUGAGGAAUCUGAAAUUGAUUUUGAUUUGUUUAAUUAACACUCUUUUGCUUACUACAUGA
Molecule: long non-coding RNA, 660 nt
Organism: Oncorhynchus tshawytscha (Chinook salmon)
Lineage: Eukaryota; Metazoa; Chordata; Actinopteri; Salmoniformes; Salmonidae
Source: Ensembl